GCCUCGGUAGCUCAGUCUCGGUAGAGCGCCGCGUUGAAGUCGCGGGCGUCGGCGGUUCGAACCCGUCCCGAGGCA
Molecule: transfer RNA, 75 nt
Filed under: Myxococcales bacterium
Lineage: Bacteria; Pseudomonadati; Myxococcota; Myxococcia; Myxococcales
Description: tRNA-Phe
Rfam family: tRNA
About the family: Transfer RNA (tRNA) molecules are approximately 80 nucleotides in length. Their secondary structure includes four short double-helical elements and three loops (D, anti-codon, and T loops).
Source: RNAcentral